GCAAGUCGAGCGAGAAAGGUUCCUUAGGGAGCUGUGUACAGCGGCGCACGGGUGAGUAACGCGUGGAUGAUCCCCCACUGGGACUGGGAUAACAGCGGGAAACUGAUGCUAAUACCGGAUACGCAGCAUUUUUCAACGAUGCGGGAAAGGUGGCCGCUGCUUGCAAGCUGCCGUCCAAGGAUGAGUCCGCGUCGGAUUAGCUUGAUGGUGAGGUAAUGGCCUACCAUGGCGACGAUGAGUAGCCGGCCUGAGAGGGUGGCC
This 261-nucleotide ribosomal RNA is filed under the name uncultured bacterium. RNAcentral's name for it is "partial 16S ribosomal RNA". It matches the Rfam family "Bacterial small subunit ribosomal RNA", at positions 57 to 305 of the family's 1533-position model. The record is from RNAcentral.